Molecule: ribosomal RNA, 497 nt
Filed under: uncultured bacterium
Lineage: Bacteria
Description: partial 16S ribosomal RNA
Rfam family: Bacterial small subunit ribosomal RNA
Source: RNAcentral
UCUUCCCUCUGGCGGCGUGCCUAAUACAUGCAAGUCGAGCGAACGGACGAGAAGCUUGCUUCUCUGAUGUUAGCGGCGGACGGGUGAGUAACACGUGGAUAACCUACCUAUAAGACUGGGAUAACUUCUGGAAACCGGAGCUAAUACCGGAUAAUAUUUUGAACCGCAUGGUUCAAAAGUAAAAGACGGUCUUGCUGUCACUUAUAGAUGGAUCCGCGCUGCAUUAGCUAGUUGGUAAGGUAACGGCUUACCAAGGCAACGAUGCAUAGCCGACCUGAGAGGGUGAUCGGCCACACUGGAACUGAGACACGGUCCAGACUCCUACGGGAGGCAGCAGUAGGGAAUCUUCCGCAAUGGGCGAAAGCCUGACGGAGCAACGCCGCGUGAGUGAUGAAGGUCUUCGGAUCGUAAAACUCUGUUAUUAGGGAAGAACAUAUGUGUAAGUAACUGUGCACAUCUUGACGGUACCUAAUCAGAAAGCCACGGCUAACUACGUG